AAUUUUUAGCAAAUAAAGGUACGGAAAAGGGAGGUACAUGAAAGAAGUCGAACAAGAAAUUCCAUAAUCCAUACAAGCAAAAUUUGUUAUUGUAAGAGCCUAAAUAUAUUCCCAGUUGAGUCGCCAUGUUGUCUCGCCUUUUUUUCCUUCGCGGAAGAGGGGUUCCACGUUGACAACUCUUUCAAUGGGUAUUAAAAUAGAAGAGUCGUCACCUAACGAUUUUAAGGUGCGUUAGGUUACCUAUUUGCAGAGAGCCGCACGGACAAGUUUGAAA
RNAcentral lists this long non-coding RNA (274 nucleotides) under Nicotiana benthamiana. RNAcentral's name for it is "long non-coding RNA (NBEN_LNC004050)". Lineage: Eukaryota; Viridiplantae; Streptophyta; Magnoliopsida; Solanales; Solanaceae. The record is from RNAcentral.